CUGGCUCAGAUUGAACGCUGGCGGCAGGCCUAACACAUGCAAGUCGAGCGGCAGCACGGGUACUUGUACCUGGUGGCGAGCGGCGGACGGGUGAGUAAUGCCUAGGAAUCUGCCUGGUAGUGGGGGAUAACGCUCGGAAACGGACGCUAAUACCGCAUACGUCCUACGGGAGAAAGCAGGGGACCUUCGGGCCUUGCGCUAUCAGAUGAGCCUAGGUCGGAUUAGCUAGUUGGUGAGGUAAUGGCUCACCAAGGCGACGAUCCGUAACUGGUCUGAGAGGAUGAUCAGUCACACUGGAACUGAGACACGGUCCAGACUCCUACGGGAGGCAGCAGUGGGGAAUAUUGGACAAUGGGCGAAAGCCUGAUCCAGCCAUGCCGCGUGUGUGAAGAAGGUCUUCGGAUUGUAAAGCACUUUAAGUUGGGAGGAAGGGCAGUUACCUAAUACGUGAUUGUUUUGACGUUACCGACAGAAUAAGCACCGGCUAACUCUGUGCCAGCAGCCGCGGUAAUACAGAGGGUGCAAGCGUUAAUCGGAAUUACUGGGCGUAAAGCGCGCGUAGGUGGUUUGUUAAGUUGGAUGUGAAAUCCCCGGGCUCAACCUGGGAACUGCAUCCAAAACUGGCAAGCUAGAGUAUGGUAGAGGGUGGUGGAAUUUCCUGUGUAGCGGUGAAAUGCGUAGAUAUAGGAAGGAACACCAGUGGCGAAGGCGACCACCUGGACUGAUACUGACACUGA
RNAcentral lists this ribosomal RNA (737 nucleotides) under Pseudomonas tremae. RNAcentral's name for it is "bacterial SSU rRNA". It matches the Rfam family "Bacterial small subunit ribosomal RNA", at positions 19 to 749 of the family's 1533-position model. Lineage: Bacteria; Pseudomonadati; Pseudomonadota; Gammaproteobacteria; Pseudomonadales; Pseudomonadaceae. The record is from RNAcentral.